GCCCCCGUGCUGAAACUGGUACACGGACGCGACUCAAAAUCGUGCGGGGAAACCCAUGUCGGUUCAAGUCCGACCGGGGGCACCA
This 85-nucleotide transfer RNA is filed under the name Bacillota bacterium. RNAcentral's name for it is "tRNA-Leu". It matches the Rfam family "tRNA". Rfam says of the family: Transfer RNA (tRNA) molecules are approximately 80 nucleotides in length. The record is from RNAcentral. Lineage: Bacteria; Bacillati; Bacillota.